This 972-nucleotide long non-coding RNA is filed under the name Struthio camelus australis. RNAcentral's name for it is "lncRNA (ENSSCUG00000007966.1)". The record is from RNAcentral. Lineage: Eukaryota; Metazoa; Chordata; Aves; Struthioniformes; Struthionidae.
CCCUGCCAAAGCCAUAAACUAUCUCAGCGGAUAGACUAAAUACAGCUCUUUACAAAGGACAUGAAUCUCCCUAUUGGAUGUCUCGGCUCUAAGAGGGAGGGACGGAGGCUUAGCUGGUGCAACUCCACAUAGCUCCAGGGCAGCCAGGGAAGGCGCCCAAUUCCCACCAGCUGAUGAACUGGCCCCCAGGAGAAAGCCCAGGGUAGGAGACGAAAGGCUGUGGAUUCCUCCUAUAUAGACACCUGAUCUGCGGAAGGGAGGAGAGGCUGAACCGGAGCUUACGCUCUGAGCCUAGAGACUGACCCCUGUCAUCAGUGGCAUUGCCUCCCUCGAGGAAAUACUUGACUUGGAAAAGCAGAAAGAAGAGAGAGCUGCAGACAAAACACCUAUUGUUAGUGAGAGCAGCCUGUUGAGACGUUGUGGCAGAAAAUGCUUACAAAGCAGAUAUUGAUCCAUCUCACAGGUGAAAGGUAUAAUUAGGCAUGCAGUCAAGGCCUGCAAGAUCCAAGACAAGAUCUUCUGAUGAAGGAAGGCCCUUGAUACGUCAAAGGGUGCAGGAAGCACAUGUAUGAAAUCAAUAGAGUGCAUCAGAGCUGAUAAUAAUGACAGAAGAUUGAUUAUACUGCAAAUGAUAGAACGAUUCCCUGGGAAGGGGAAACUACAUGUGGAAGAAAUUAUUUUUAUCUUCCUCUUUAGAACAAGCAAAGCUGAAUUUUUGUACAUUUCUGUGAGUUGAGCGAAGCACAGAAGGAUUCUGCGGGACACAUCAACCGUGUUGUUCCCCUGUCCUGGGAGAUGGAAGGUCUGGCAGACAGCUGAUUGAUCAGGGGACAAAUGAACAUCAGCUGACCUCCCCAAGGUCCACUAACCAGGCUGUGAGCGCACUCUGAGCAGUUUCGCUAGCUGACAGAACAACCUGGCAAUGCUGGCAAGGAGUUAUUCAGAAUAAAACGUAAACUUCUGAGUAAGCCA